Molecule: ribosomal RNA, 253 nt
Filed under: uncultured bacterium
Lineage: Bacteria
Description: partial 16S ribosomal RNA
Rfam family: Bacterial small subunit ribosomal RNA
Source: RNAcentral
UACGUAGGGGGCAAGCGUUGUCCGGAUUUAUUGGGCGUAAAGAGCGUGUAGGCGGCCAGGUAAGUCCGUUGUGAAAACUCGAGGCUCAACCUCGAGACGCCGAUGGAAACCCCCUGGCUAGAGUCCGGAAGAGGAGAAUGGAAUUCCUGGUGUAGCGGUGAAAUGCGCAGAUAUCAGGAAGAACACCCGUGGCUAAGGCGGUUCUCUAGUACGGUACUGACGCUGAGGAGCGAAAGCGUGGGGAGCGAACAGG